UCAAAAUGUAGCUUAAGACAAAGCAUUCUGUUUACACCUGAAAUAUGUUUAUUUAAAUAAACCAUUUUGAC
This 71-nucleotide transfer RNA is filed under the name Gavialis gangeticus (Gharial). RNAcentral describes it as "transfer RNA-Val". It matches the Rfam family "tRNA". From Rfam's summary of the family: Transfer RNA (tRNA) molecules are approximately 80 nucleotides in length. Lineage: Eukaryota; Metazoa; Chordata; Crocodylia; Gavialidae. The record is from RNAcentral.